This 114-nucleotide non-coding RNA is filed under the name Cellulomonas sp. RNAcentral's name for it is "SAM-IV sequence". It matches the Rfam family "SAM (S-adenosyl methionine) riboswitch aptamer". Rfam says of the family: SAM-IV is a mRNA element that regulates gene expression via direct sensing of S-adenosylmethionine (SAM or AdoMet). Lineage: Bacteria; Bacillati; Actinomycetota; Actinomycetes; Micrococcales; Cellulomonadaceae. The record is from RNAcentral.
GGUCAUGAGCGCCAGCGCGAAGCCCCGGCUCGCUGGCCGGCAACCCUCCUCCGCGGUGGGGUGCCCCGGGUGACGACCAGGCCGAGCACCGACCGGUGCCGGCAAGCGCGGGAU